RNAcentral lists this ribosomal RNA (496 nucleotides) under uncultured bacterium. RNAcentral's name for it is "partial 16S ribosomal RNA". It matches the Rfam family "Bacterial small subunit ribosomal RNA", at positions 28 to 506 of the family's 1533-position model. The record is from RNAcentral.
GAUGAACGCUGGCGGCGUGCCUAAUACAUGCAAGUUGAGCGCUGAAGGUUGGUACUUGUACCAACUGGAUGAGCAGCGAACGGGUGAGUAACGCGUGGGGAAUCUGCCUUUGAGCGGGGGACAACAUUUGGAAACGAAUGCUAAUACCGCAUAAAAACUUUAAACACAAGUUUUAAGUUUGAAAGAUGCAAUUGCAUCACUCAAAGAUGAUCCCGCGUUGUAUUAGCUAGUUGGUGAGGUAAAGGCUCACCAAGGCGAUGAUACAUAGCCGACCUGAGAGGGUGAUCGGCCACAUUGGGACUGAGACACGGCCCAAACUCCUACGGGAGGCAGCAGUAGGGAAUCUUCGGCAAUGGACGAAAGUCUGACCGAGCAACGCCGCGUGAGUGAAGAAGGUUUUCAGAUCGUAAAACUCUGUUGGUAGAGAAGAACGUUGGUGAGAGUGGAAAGCUCAUCAAGUGACGGUAACUACCCAGAAAGGGACGGCUAACUACGU